This 257-nucleotide ribosomal RNA is filed under the name uncultured bacterium. Its description in RNAcentral is "partial 16S ribosomal RNA". It matches the Rfam family "Bacterial small subunit ribosomal RNA", at positions 524 to 776 of the family's 1533-position model. The record is from RNAcentral.
UACGGGGGGGGGCAAGCGUUGUUCGGAAUUACUGGGCGUAAAGGGCUCGUAGGCGGCCAACUAAGUCAGACGUGAAAUCCCUCGGCUUAACCGGGGGAACUGCAUCUGAUACUGGAUGGCUUGAGUUCGGGGAGAGGGAUGCGGAAUUCCAGGUGUAGCGGUGAAAUGCGUAGAUAUCGGGAAGAACACCCGUGGCGAAGGCGGCUCUCUGGGACGGUACUGACGCUGAGACGCGAAAAGCGUGGGGAGCGAACAGG